This 254-nucleotide ribosomal RNA is filed under the name uncultured bacterium. RNAcentral describes it as "partial 16S ribosomal RNA". It matches the Rfam family "Bacterial small subunit ribosomal RNA", at positions 524 to 776 of the family's 1533-position model. The record is from RNAcentral.
UACGGAGGGUGCGAGCGUUGUCCGGAAUCACUGGGCGUAAAGGGCGCGUAGGUGGCCUGUGGAAGUCUGCGGUGAAAGCCCGGCGCUCAACGCCGGGUCGGCCGUGGAUACUCUCGGGCUCGAGCUUACUAGAGGCAGAUGGAAUUCCGGGUGUAGCGGUGGAAUGCGUAGAGAUGUGGAGGAACACCGAUGGCGAAGGCAGCCCCCUGGGUCAAGAUUGACGCUCAUGCACGAAAGCGUGGGGAGCAAACAGG